RNAcentral lists this ribosomal RNA (640 nucleotides) under Rhizoctonia solani. Its description in RNAcentral is "eukaryotic LSU rRNA". The stretch from base 196 to 349 matches the Rfam family "5.8S ribosomal RNA". The record is from RNAcentral. Lineage: Eukaryota; Fungi; Basidiomycota; Agaricomycetes; Cantharellales; Ceratobasidiaceae.
GGUUGUAGCUGGCUCAUGAAUUUGGGCAUGUGCACACCUAUCUCUUUCAUCCACACACACCUGUGCACUUGUGAGGCAGAUGGGGAAUUUAUUGAUUGUUUUUUAAGAACAAUUGGUGCUGGACCCUCUGUCUACUCAAUANAUAAACNCAAUUUAUUUAGAAAUGAAUGUAAUGGAUGUAACGCAUCUAAUACUAAGUUUCAACAACGGAUCUCUUGGCUCUCGCAUCGAUGAAGAACGCAGCGAAAUGCGAUAAGUAAUGUGAAUUGCAGAAUUCAGUGAAUCAUCGAAUCUUUGAACGCACCUUGCGCUCCUUGGUAUUCCUUGGAGCAUGCCUGUUUGAGUAUCAUGAAAUCUUCAAAGUAAAUCUUUUGUUAACUCAAUUGGUUCUACUUUGGUAUUGGAGGUCUUUGCAGCUUCACACCUGCUCCUCUUCGUUCAUUAGCUGGAUCUCAGUGUUAUGCUUGGUUCCACUCAGCGUGAUAAGUUAUCUAUCGCUGAGGACACUGUAACAGGUGGCCAAGGGAAAUGCAGAUGAACCGCUUCUAAUAGUCCAUUGACUUGGACACUAUUUUUAUGAUCUGAUCUCAAAUCAGGUAGGACUACCCGCUGAACUUAAGCAUAUCAAUAAGCGGAGGAA